UACGUAGGCAGCGAGCGUUGUUCGGAGUUACUGGGCGUAAAGGGUGUGUAGGCGGUUGUUUAAGUUUGGUGUGAAAUCUCCCGGCUCAACUGGGAGGGUGCGCCGAAUACUGAAUGACUUGGAGUGCGGGAGAGGUGAGUGGAAUUCCUGGUGUAGCGGUGAAAUGCGUAGAUAUCAGGAGGAACACCGGUGGCGAAGGCGGGUCUCUGGGCAACUACUGACGCUGAGGAGCGAAAGCGUGGGGAGCGAACAGG
RNAcentral lists this ribosomal RNA (254 nucleotides) under uncultured bacterium. RNAcentral's name for it is "partial 16S ribosomal RNA". It matches the Rfam family "Bacterial small subunit ribosomal RNA", at positions 524 to 776 of the family's 1533-position model. The record is from RNAcentral.